Non-coding RNA from Rattus norvegicus (Norway rat), 69 nucleotides. The record is from Rfam. Lineage: Eukaryota; Metazoa; Chordata; Mammalia; Rodentia; Muridae.
GGGGAUUUAGCUCAGUGGUAGAGCGCUUGCCUAGCAAGCGCAAGGCUCUGGGUUCGGUCCCCAGCUCCA